UAACACUUUUUUAUUCAUGAAUUUGGUGAAGUCGUAACAAGGUAACCGUAGGGGAACAUGCGGUUGGAUCACCUCCUUACCUUAAAGAACUGU
RNAcentral lists this ribosomal RNA (93 nucleotides) under Salmonella enterica subsp. enterica serovar Enteritidis. Its description in RNAcentral is "partial 16S ribosomal RNA". Lineage: Bacteria; Pseudomonadati; Pseudomonadota; Gammaproteobacteria; Enterobacterales; Enterobacteriaceae. The record is from RNAcentral.